RNAcentral lists this ribosomal RNA (406 nucleotides) under uncultured bacterium. RNAcentral describes it as "partial 16S ribosomal RNA". It matches the Rfam family "Bacterial small subunit ribosomal RNA", at positions 29 to 526 of the family's 1533-position model. The record is from RNAcentral.
AUUGAACGCUGGCGGCAGGCCUAACACAUGCAAGUCGAACGAGUGGCGGACGGGUGAGUAAUGUAUGGGAAACUGCCCGAUGGAGGGGGGUAACUACUGGAAACGGUAGCUACUACCGCAUACCAUCGGAUGUGCCCAGAUGGGAUUAGCUAGUAGGUGGGGUAACGGCUCACCUAGGCGACGAUCCCUAGCUGGUCUGAGAGGAUGACCGGCCACACGGGGACUGAGACACGGUCCAGACUCCUACGGGAGGCAGCAGUAGGGAAUAUUGCGCAAUGGGCGAAAGCCUGAUGCAGCCAUGCCGCGUGUGUGAAGAAGGUCUUCGGGUUGUAAAGUACUGUCGGCGGGGAGGCGGUAAUUGAAGAGGAAGCACCGGCUAACUCCGUGCCAGCAGCCGCGGUAAUUC